RNAcentral lists this long non-coding RNA (948 nucleotides) under Equus caballus (horse). RNAcentral describes it as "lncRNA (ENSECAG00000047425.1)". Lineage: Eukaryota; Metazoa; Chordata; Mammalia; Perissodactyla; Equidae. The record is from RNAcentral.
CUGUUAUCUGCACAGAAGAUCAAUUGGCCCAUGAGGAAGGUAUGCAGCAGGGCAUGAAGAUGGGAAAGGAUAUGGCACACAGCCACCAUCUGUGAACACAGCAUUCUGGUCAGGAUCAUAGGGUAGUGGAAAGGGUGGCAGAUGGCGAUGUAUCUGUCGUAGGCCAUUACAGCCAGGAGGAAGUUUUCCAUGGCUGCAAAACAAAUGAAGAAUAAGAGGAGGGAAGAGAGUCCUUGAAGAUACAGCACAUCUGAGGAUGGCAUAUGGAAGAGGCACUAUGAAGGGAAAGAAAAGAAAAAAGAAGACUUACAGAGUCAAAGACAAACUUCAAAAUUUGUUCAAUAUUGUGCAAAGGAUCAAAUUUGAGACGGAUGUUCCUCCCUCCAGAAAUUACUGAGAGUGUGUAGGAAUUUUCUGAGGUGGUCAGAAACUGCUAUGUGGUGUGCAGCCCUAAAUGAAGAUACUCACCUUACUGUGGACCCCUGACAGGACUGGAAUGGGCUGAACUUGGCACUUCCAUCCUUCCUUAGGCACCACGUGUGGUCAUGUCUUGUUUUGACAGCAGCUCAGAGCUGUACACUCAAGGAAGACAGAGGAAAUUGCCCAGCACAGAAAGAAAUGCAUCAGGCAGAAUUUAAAGGGAAAGAACAACCAGACCCUUGGGAGUGGUUCUGCUUGUCAGCAACAGGAAGGCAUGUCUGAGAAAGGUGCUGGGAGGUUUUAUCAUGUGCUUCCUCAAGAAUUCCAAGGUUCUCACUAGCACGGAGUCCUAAGUGUAUCAUUGUCCAAACUUCGUGCCUUCUCUGGGGAGUGGAGCCCAUGGGGCAGUGCUUCCAAUGUUAGUAUUAGUGGCUGUGGCUUGGCCGCUCAGCAGAUCCCAGGAGGAUGGCCAGGACCUGGGAGAUCAGCCUGGACAUGUGUUCUCUGAUGUGUGCUCCAAAAUUUGAC